Molecule: ribosomal RNA, 620 nt
Filed under: Escherichia coli
Lineage: Bacteria; Pseudomonadati; Pseudomonadota; Gammaproteobacteria; Enterobacterales; Enterobacteriaceae
Description: partial 23S ribosomal RNA
Rfam family: Bacterial large subunit ribosomal RNA
Source: RNAcentral
GUGUGACUGCGUACCUUUUGUAUAAUGGGUCAGCGACUUAUAUUCUGUAGCAAGGUUAACCGAAUAGGGGAGCCGAAGGGAAACCGAGUCUUAACUGGGCGUUAAGUUGCAGGGUAUAGACCCGAAACCCGGUGAUCUAGCCAUGGGCAGGUUGAAGGUUGGGUAACACUAACUGGAGGACCGAACCGACUAAUGUUGAAAAAUUAGCGGAUGACUUGUGGCUGGGGGUGAAAGGCCAAUCAAACCGGGAGAUAGCUGGUUCUCCCCGAAAGCUAUUUAGGUAGCGCCUCGUGAAUUCAUCUCCGGGGGUAGAGCACUGUUUCGGCAAGGGGGUCAUCCCGACUUACCAACCCGAUGCAAACUGCGAAUACCGGAGAAUGUUAUCACGGGAGACACACGGCGGGUGCUAACGUCCGUCGUGAAGAGGGAAACAACCCAGACCGCCAGCUAAGGUCCCAAAGUCAUGGUUAAGUGGGAAACGAUGUGGGAAGGCCCAGACAGCCAGGAUGUUGGCUUAGAAGCAGCCAUCAUUUAAAGAAAGCGUAAUAGCUCACUGGUCGAGUCGGCCUGCGCGGAAGAUGUAACGGGGCUAAACCAUGCACCGAAGCUGCGGCAGCGAC